CAAACACAAGUCACAGAGCUGAAAAAUAAAAUAAUUGAAAUGAAAAUUUCACGUCCCCUAAUCCUCCAGGGAAAGCUACACACCUCAGGAUUGCUCCCAGCUGGCCGUGAAGCUCCGUGACUUGUGAAGGUGGCUUUUUUCUCUCCAGAAAGGAAUUUCUGCCUCUCCCAUCUCAGUCAGGGCUGUCCCUUGUUGCAGGGGUUCUUUUUAUCCAGUUUUCAGUUCUCUCUCAGGGGUAUUUGUUUCAAGAAUGGUUGUGACUUGGUUGUGUUCGUGGAAGGAGGUGAGUUCAGAGUCUGCCUAUGCCACCAUCUUGACACCAACUGUCUUGAACUGAAAAUUUCAAUAAAGGGGUUCACGGCAGACUAGAUGAAGUGGAAGAAAAGAUCAGUGAACUCGAAGGCAAGGCAGUGGGAUUCAUCCAAUCAGAGGAGCAAAAAGUAAAAUAAAUGAGAGGAAGAAAAAAUGGCAAUGUAGGAGAACCCAGCUUCCCCAUACCUCCACAAAAGUCAUCAAUUAGGCAGCCAUCCGUAAAAAAAAAAUAGCUCUUGGAGACUUCUAGAGUCCACUAGGUAAGUUUUAGCAAUGUUGUGGAACAAAAAAAAAUGAGAAAAUCACACAAGAAGAGAAGGAAGACAGCUUCAUUGUGCCUGCAUCAUUCCGUCUCUAGUGGGCAUUGCUCAGGACCAAGAAGGAACUUCUCAGCGAGGAAGUUCCUCUAACCAAGAGAGGAAGAGCCUGGUGAGCAACAAGCUUCUCCAGCCCCUGCAGACACUGCUCAAAGGCCCCACUUGGAUUUCACCUGACUCAGACCCACAAAGCUGAGAUGCAUAGAGCCAGCUAGGAACAAGGAAGAAAAGCAGAGGCUAUUAGCAAACACAGUAGGAGUCUUCAUCAUUCACAAAGAUCUGCCCCGCAGACCAACUCAGCAGCUUCCCUCAACAACAAACUCAUCAGUGAGCUCAGCUGCUGCAGGUCUUGCCAGCUGCCCCCGCCCCCCCCCCACAGGUGUUUGCAUUACUGAUGCCAGUCUCCUUAGUCCCUCCUGGCUCCCUCCUUUCACUCCCACUGGAGCCUUGACCCACACUGAUACAUCCAAGGUCUCUACAACUGUGCAAGUGUAAGACACCAGCUACCUGAGUC
This 1143-nucleotide long non-coding RNA is filed under the name Equus asinus (donkey). Its description in RNAcentral is "lncRNA (ENSEASG00005038181.1)". The record is from RNAcentral. Lineage: Eukaryota; Metazoa; Chordata; Mammalia; Perissodactyla; Equidae.